AUUCAACAUGGAACGAGUGGCGGACGGGUGAGUAACACGUGGGUAACCUGCCCUUAAGUGGGGGAUAACAUUUGGAAACAGAUGCUAAUACCGCAUAGAUCCAAGAACCGCAUGGUUCUUGGCUGAAAGAUGGCGUAAGCUAUCGCUUUUGGAUGGACCCGCGGCGUAUUAGCUAGUUGGUGAGGUAAUGGCUCACCAAGGCGAUGAUACGUAGCCGAACUGAGAGGUUGAUCGGCCACAUUGGGACUGAGACACGGCCCAAACUCCUACGGGAGGCAGCAGUAGGGAAUCUUCCACAAUGGACGCAAGUCUGAUGGAGCAACGCCGCGUGAGUGAAGAAGGCUUUCGGGUCGUAAAACUCUGUUGUUGGAGAAGAAUGGUCGGCAGAGUAACUGUUGUCGGCGUGACGGUAUCCAACCAGAAAGCCACGGCUAACUACGUGCCAGCAGCCGCGGUAAUACGUAGGUGGCAAGCGUUAUCCGGAUUUAUUGGGCGUAAAGCGAGCGCAGGCGGUUUUUUAAGUCUGAUGUGAAAGCCCUCGGCUUAACCGAGGAAGCGCAUCGGAAACUGGGAAACUGGAGUGCACAAUAGGACA
This 595-nucleotide ribosomal RNA is filed under the name Lacticaseibacillus paracasei. RNAcentral's name for it is "bacterial SSU rRNA". It matches the Rfam family "Bacterial small subunit ribosomal RNA", at positions 79 to 660 of the family's 1533-position model. Lineage: Bacteria; Bacillati; Bacillota; Bacilli; Lactobacillales; Lactobacillaceae. The record is from RNAcentral.